RNAcentral lists this small RNA (900 nucleotides) under Pan troglodytes (chimpanzee). Its description in RNAcentral is "processed transcript". Lineage: Eukaryota; Metazoa; Chordata; Mammalia; Primates; Hominidae. The record is from RNAcentral.
CGGCAUUGCAGUGCGGGCCGUGAGGGCUGCGCGGGCGCGGGGAGGCGCGGGCGGCAAACUGCAGGCACCCGGCACCCCGCAGCCAGUACCGGGCGGAGGCGUCAGAGCCGCGCACCGCGGACGAGCAGGCCCAGGCAUCCAGUACCCUGCUGACUCUGACAUGCCCCCAGCCUCCCCCAGCUCUGCAGGGAGCCCUGGUGCCAGAGACCUUCUCCCAUUUCUCCCUAUGGGUGCCUGACCUGAGGGCAGAGACAUCUGAGUGUGUAUAAGCACAGCAGGACACCAGGACCUGGCCUGAAGACAUUUCCUCUCUUCCCCUCUGGACUUCUCAGAGAGGUGCUGUUUGAUCCCUGUCGGACUUGGUGCCCGGCGUCCACCUGCCAAGCUGUGUGUCAGCUCCAGGACGUGGGGCUGCAGACCCCCCAGCCAGUGCAGUGCAAAGCCUGCCGUAUGGAAUUCUGCUCCACCUGCAAAGCCAGCUGGCACCCUGGCCAGGGCUGCCCGGAGACCAUGCCGAUCACCUUCCUCCCCGGGGAGACCAGGUACCCUUUGUACACAAGCUGCCACCAAAGGCAUGGCUGUGGGCCAGGAGAAGCAGGCGUGCUUUCUUCCUAAAAGUGCUGUUACAGUUGCUGCUUUCAAAAUGGAAGAAGAUGACGCGCCCAUCAAGCGCUGCCCCAAGUGCAAAGUCUACAUUGAGCGAGACGAAGGCUGCGCGCAGAUGAUGUGCAAGAACUGCAAGCACGCCUUCUGCUGGUACUGCCUGGAGUCUCUGGACGAUGAUUUCCUUCUGAUACACUACGAUAAGGGACCCUGCCGGAACAAGCUGGGCCACUCCCGGGCAUCGGUGAUCUGGCAUCGGACACAGGUUGUGGGCAUUUUUGCAGGAUUUGGGCUGCU